RNAcentral lists this ribosomal RNA (2917 nucleotides) under Acinetobacter baumannii. RNAcentral describes it as "bacterial LSU rRNA". It matches the Rfam family "Bacterial large subunit ribosomal RNA". Lineage: Bacteria; Pseudomonadati; Pseudomonadota; Gammaproteobacteria; Moraxellales; Moraxellaceae. The record is from RNAcentral.
GUUGUAUAGUCAAGUAAUUAAGUGCAUGUGGUGGAUGCUUGGCAGUCAGAGGCGAUGAAAGACGUGAUAGCCUGCGAAAAGCUCCGGGGAGGCGGCAAAUAUCCUUUGAUCCGGAGAUGUCUGAAUGGGGGAACCACCUACUUUAAGGUAGGUAUUGCAACAUGAAUACAUAGUGUUGCAAGGCGAACGAGGGGAAGUGAAACAUCUCAGUACCCUUAGGAAAAGAAAUCAAUUGAGAUUCCCUCAGUAGCGGCGAGCGAACGGGGAUCAGCCCAUUAAGUUAUGUGUGUUUUAGUGGAACGCUCUGGGAAGUGCGAACGUAGAGGGUGAUAUUCCCGUACACGAAAGGGCACACAUAAUGAUGACGAGUAGGGCGAGGCACGUGAAACCUUGUCUGAAUAUGGGGGGGACCAUCCUCCAAGGCUAAAUACUCCUGACUGACCGAUAGUGAACCAGUACCGUGAGGGAAAGGCGAAAAGAACCCCUGUGAGGGGAGUGAAAUAGAUCCUGAAACCGCAUGCAUACAAGCAGUGGGAGCACCUUCGUGGUGUGACUGCGUACCUUUUGUAUAAUGGGUCAGCGACUUAUAUUCAGUAGCGAGGUUAACCGUAUAGGGGAGCCGUAGAGAAAUCGAGUCUUAAUAGGGCGUUUAGUUGCUGGGUAUAGACCCGAAACCAGGCGAUCUAUCCAUGAGCAGGUUGAAGGUUGGGUAACACUAACUGGAGGACCGAACCCACUGUCGUUGAAAAGCCAGGGGAUGACUUGUGGAUAGGGGUGAAAGGCUAAUCAAGCCUGGUGAUAGCUGGUUCUCCCCGAAAGCUAUUUAGGUAGCGCCUCGGACGAAUACCAUAGGGGGUAGAGCACUGUUUCGGCUAGGGGGUCAUCCCGACUUACCAAACCGAUGCAAACUCCGAAUACCUAUGAGUACUAUCCGGGAGACAGACUGCGGGUGCUAACGUCCGUAGUCAAGAGGAAAACAAUCCAGACCGCCAGCUAAGGCCCCAAAAUCAUAGUUAAGUGGGAAACGAUGUGGGAAGGCAUAGACAGCUAGGAGGUUGGCUUAGAAGCAGCCACCCUUUAAAGAAAGCGUAAUAGCUCACUAGUCGAGUCGGCCUGCGCGGAAGAUGUAACGGGGCUAAAACUAUGUGCCGAAGCUGCGGAUGUAUACUUUGUAUACGUGGUAGGGGAGCGUUCUGUAAGCCGAUGAAGGUGUGUUGAGAAGCAUGCUGGAGGUAUCAGAAGUGCGAAUGCUGACGUGAGUAACGACAAAACGGGUGAAAAACCCGUUCGCCGAAAGACCAAGGGUUCCAGUCCAACGUUAAUCGGGGCUGGGUGAGUCGACCCCUAAGGCGAGGCCGAAAGGCGUAGUCGAUGGGAAAAUGGUUAAUAUUCCAUUACUUCUGUGUAAUGCGAUGAGAGGACGGAGAAGGCUAAAUCAGCCUGGCGUUGGUUGUCCAGGUGAAAGGAUGUAGGCAUGUAUCUUAGGCAAAUCCGGGGUACUCUAUGCUGAGAUCUGAUAGCAAGCUGUACUUGUACAGCGAAGUGGUUGAUGCCAUGCUUCCAGGAAAAGUCUCUAAGCUUCAGUUACACAGGAAUCGUACCCGAAACCGACACAGGUGGUCAGGUCGAGUAGACCAAGGCGCUUGAGAGAACUCUGCUGAAGGAACUAGGCAAAAUGGUACCGUAACUUCGGGAGAAGGUACGCUGUUGUUGGUGAUGGAACUCGCUUCCUGAGCUGACGACAGCCGCAGAAACCAGGCCGCUGCAACUGUUUAUUAAAAACAUAGCACUCUGCAAACACGAAAGUGGACGUAUAGGGUGUGAUGCCUGCCCGGUGCUGGAAGGUUAAUUGAUGGGGUUAGCGUAAGCGAAGCUCUUGAUCGAAGCCCCAGUAAACGGCGGCCGUAACUAUAACGGUCCUAAGGUAGCGAAAUUCCUUGUCGGGUAAGUUCCGACCUGCACGAAUGGCAUAAUGAUGGCGGCGCUGUCUCCAGCAGAGGCUCAGUGAAAUCGAAAUCGCUGUGAAGAUGCAGUGUACCCGCGGCUAGACGGAAAGACCCCGUGAACCUUUACUGCAGCUUGACACUGAACUUUGACCUUACUUGUGUAGGAUAGGUGGGAGGCUUUGAAGCUGGAACGCUAGUUCCAGUGGAGCCGUCCUUGAAAUACCACCCUGGUAAUGUUGAGGUUCUAACUCUGUCCCGUGAUCCGGGACGAGGACCGUGUCUGGUGGGUAGUUUGACUGGGGCGGUCUCCUCCUAAAGAGUAACGGAGGAGUACGAAGGUGCGCUCAGCGUGGUCGGAAAUCACGCGUAGAGUAUAAAGGCAAAAGCGCGCUUAACUGCGAGACCCACAAGUCGAGCAGGUACGAAAGUAGGUCUUAGUGAUCCGGUGGUUCUGUAUGGAAGGGCCAUCGCUCAACGGAUAAAAGGUACUCUGGGGAUAACAGGCUGAUACCGCCCAAGAGUUCAUAUCGACGGCGGUGUUUGGCACCUCGAUGUCGGCUCAUCUCAUCCUGGGGCUGAAGCAGGUCCCAAGGGUAUGGCUGUUCGCCAUUUAAAGAGGUACGCGAGCUGGGUUUAGAACGUCGUGAGACAGUUCGGUCCCUAUCUACCGUGGGCGCUGGAAAUUUGAGAGGAUCUGCUCCUAGUACGAGAGGACCAGAGUGGACGAACCUCUGGUGUACCGGUUGUGACGCCAGUCGCAUCGCCGGGUAGCUAUGUUCGGAAGGGAUAACCGCUGAAAGCAUCUAAGCGGGAAGCCUACCUCAAGAUAAGAUUUCCCUAGGACUUUAUGUCCUCUAAAGAGCCGUUCGAGACUAGGACGUUGAUAGGUUGGAUGUGGAAGCAUAGUGAUAUGUGAAGCUGACCAAUACUAAUUGCUCGUGAGGCUUGACUAUACAACACCCAAGCAGUUG